This 520-nucleotide unclassified non-coding RNA is filed under the name uncultured Glomus. RNAcentral's name for it is "SSU rRNA". It matches the Rfam family "Eukaryotic small subunit ribosomal RNA", at positions 569 to 1091 of the family's 1831-position model. Lineage: Eukaryota; Fungi; Glomeromycota; Glomeromycetes; Glomerales; Glomeraceae. The record is from RNAcentral.
AGCAGCCGCGGUAAUUCCAGCUCCAAUAGCGUAUAUUAAAGUUGCUGCAGUUAAAAAGCUCGUAGUUGAAUUUCGGGAUCAAUACGUCGGUCGUGCUUCGGUACGUACUGGCGUAAUUGAUUUCUCCCUUCUGACGAACCAUGAUGUCAUUAACUUGGUGUCAUGGGAAAUCAGGACUGUUACUUUGAAAAAAUUAGAGUGUUUAAAGCAGGCUCACGCUUGAAUACAUUAGCAUGGAAUAAUGAAAUAGGACGUUCGAUCCUAUUUUGUUGGUUUUUAGGAUCAACGUAAUGAUUAAUAGGGAUAGUUGGGGGCAUUAGUAUUCAAUUGUCAGAGGUGAAAUUCUUGGAUUUAUUGAAGACUAACUACUGCGAAAGCAUUUGCCAAGGAUGUUUUCAUUAAUCAAGAACGAAAGUUAGGGGAUCGAAGACGAUCAGAUACCGUCGUAGUCUUAACCAUAAACUAUGCCGACUAGGGAUCGGAUGAUGUUAAUUUUUUAAUGACUCAUUCGGCGCCUUAC